UGCUCACUUCCAUAGCACGAUACUAAAAUUGGAACAAUACAGAGGAGAUUAGCAUGGCCCCUGCACAAGGAUAGCAUGUAAAUUUUGAAGUGUUCCGUGCUUUA
This is a small nuclear RNA of Talpa occidentalis (Iberian mole), 104 nucleotides long. The record is from RefSeq and is a predicted model, not a curated record. Lineage: Eukaryota; Metazoa; Chordata; Mammalia; Eulipotyphla; Talpidae.